UAGGGAAUCUUCCGCAAUGGACGAAAGUCUGACGGAGCAACGCUGCGUGAGUGAUGAAGGCUUUCGGGUCGUAAAACUCUGUUGUUAGGGAAGAACAAGUAUCGGAGUCACUACCGGUACCUUGACGGUACCUAACCAGAAAGCCACGGCUAACUACGUGCCAGCAGCCGCGGUAAUACGUAGGUGGCAAGCGUUGUUCGGAAUUAUUGGGCGUAAAGCGCGCGCAGGCGGUCUUUUAAGUCUGAUGUGAAAUCUCGCGGCUCAACUGCGAGCGGUCAUUGGAAACUGGAGGACUUGAGUACAGAAGAGGAAAGUGGAAUUCCACGUGUAGCGGUGAAAUGCGUAGAGAUGUGGAGGAACACCAGUGGCGAAGGCGGCUUUCUGGUCUGUAACUGACGCUGAGGCGCGAAAGCGUGGGGAGCAAACAGGAUUAGAUACCCUGGUAGUCCACGCCGUAAACGAUGAGUGCUAAGUGUUAGAGGGUUUCCGCCCUUUAGUGCUGCAGCUAACGCAUUAAGCACUCCGCCUGGGGAGUACGGCCGCAAGGCUG
This 550-nucleotide ribosomal RNA is filed under the name uncultured Bacillaceae bacterium. Its description in RNAcentral is "bacterial SSU rRNA". It matches the Rfam family "Bacterial small subunit ribosomal RNA", at positions 355 to 896 of the family's 1533-position model. Lineage: Bacteria; Bacillati; Bacillota; Bacilli; Caryophanales; Bacillaceae. The record is from RNAcentral.